This 774-nucleotide ribosomal RNA is filed under the name uncultured Neocallimastigales. Its description in RNAcentral is "partial large subunit ribosomal RNA". It matches the Rfam family "Eukaryotic large subunit ribosomal RNA", at positions 23 to 647 of the family's 3401-position model. Lineage: Eukaryota; Fungi; Neocallimastigomycota; Neocallimastigomycetes; Neocallimastigales. The record is from RNAcentral.
AUAGAGACUCAGAGCUGCAUAUCAAUAAGCGGAGGAAAAGAAACUAACUAGGAUUCCCUCAGUAACGGCGAGUGAAGCGGGAAGAGCUCAAAUUUGAAAUCUUCAAGGUUCUACCUUGACGAAUUGUAGUUUAUAGAAGUGUUUUCUGUUAGUAGAGUGGCAAAAGUUCUUUGGAAUAGGACAUCAUAGAGGGUGAGAAUCCCGUAUUUGGUCAUUCUUUCUAGCUUUGUGAUACACUUUCAAAGAGUCGGAUUGUUUGGGAAUGCAGUCCAAAAUGGGUGGUAAAUUUCAUCUAAAGCUAAAUAUUGGCGAGAGACCGAUAGCGAACAAGUACCGUGAGGGAAAGAUGAAAAGAACUUUGAAAAGAGAGUUAAACAGUACGUGAAAUUGUCAAAAGGGAAGCGUUUGACACCAGUGUUGUUUUUCCGAAAAUCAAUUACGAAUGUUUUAUUUUUGAGAAGUUAUGACUUCAUCGGCUUGCUUCUCUCUUUAUGAAACUUUCUUAAUGCACUUUUCGGUUAACAAGUCAACAUCAAUUUCUUUUGUUGUAAAAGGGUAUGAGGAAGGUGGCUUUCUUUUCGGAGAAAGUGUUUAUAGCCUUGUACCUCUGCAAUCGGAGAGAUUGAGGUCUGCAGCGUAGAUCCUUCGGGGUUAGAUACAUUUGUGCUAAGUUAUAGCUUUUCAUAGACAACUUGUUGACUAUGUUUAGUCUUGUAGCUUACUCGCUUAUGCUAUUUUACCUACGCUUAGGAUGUUGACGAGACUGUCGAUCUC